UGCCAGCAGUCGCGGUUAAACCAAGAAAUUUAGUCAUUCUUUUAUGGUAAAAAGACAGUUAGGCAGAGAUAGGUGAGAUUAUUAGAUCUUUAGUAAAGGAGUAAAAUCUAAAUACUAAAAGAUAUACCGGACAUAAUUUAUUUAGGAUGUUGAAUCUGUGACAGCUUUAAGGGAAACUGGGAUUGGAUACCCCAUUAUUUUUAGUUAUAAAUUUAGUUUAAGCUUACCGGAGUACUACGAAUAAAAAGUUUAAAACUCAAAGGGCUUGGCGGUGUUUUAGACCUCUCAGGGGAACCUGUCUCGUAAUCGACAAUCCACGUUAAACCUAACCUUUUAUGGUAAAACAGCUUGUAUACCGUCGUCGUCAGGUAACUUCUUAAAAUAUAGUAGUUAGCUUGAGAAUUUAAUUAAUUAAAACGUCAGAUCAAGGUGCAGCUAAUGAAAAGGUGAGGAUGGGUUACAAUUAUAUAUUUAUAAAUACGGAAAAUACUUGAAAUGGAGUAUCUUAAAGGAGGACUUGAAAGUAAUUUUAAUUAUAUAAAUAGAAUGAAUAAGGCUCUGAAACGUGCACACAUCGCCCGCCACUCU
This 588-nucleotide ribosomal RNA is filed under the name Conus gauguini. RNAcentral describes it as "partial 12S ribosomal RNA". Lineage: Eukaryota; Metazoa; Mollusca; Gastropoda; Neogastropoda; Conidae. The record is from RNAcentral.